UGGAAGGAGAGUGGGUCAGUGCCCUCUCUGCAGAGCAGCAUCCCCUCUCCAGCCACCUCUUGUGCUGCAGUCCACCUCCAAUAUGUGCCACCAUGCCUGUGGAGAUGUCCCAGCUCCUCUGAUUCCAAUAAAUGCACUGCAGGAAUGAUGGCAGCCUCCACCUCUCCCUGACUUUCAUGUCUUCUGAAUAAACCAGAGAAGAUGGGUUCAGACUGGUAGCAGGUCAGCCCUGCUGCUUCUUCACCUCUCCCUCCAUGAGCCUGGCAACAAAACCAGAUCCUAGCAGUAAAACCAGGUC
This is a non-coding RNA of Lonchura striata (white-rumped munia), 298 nucleotides long. The record is from RefSeq and is a predicted model, not a curated record. Lineage: Eukaryota; Metazoa; Chordata; Aves; Passeriformes; Estrildidae.